CCUACGGGGGGCAGCAGUGGGGGAUAUUGCACAAUGGGGGAAACCCUGAUGCAGCGACGCCGCGUGUGGGAAGACGGUCCUCUGGAUUGUAAACCACUGUCCCCAGGGACGAAGAUGCCGGUACCUGGGGAGGACGCUCCGGCUAACUACGUUCCAGCAGCCGCGGUAAUCCGUAGGGAGCGAGCGUUGUCCGGAAUUACUGGGUGUAAAGGGAGCGUAGGCGGGGAUGCAAGUUGGGUGUAAAAACUACCGGCUCAACUGGUAGUCGCACUCAAAACUGCAGCUCUUGAGUGAAGUAGAGGCAGGCGGAAUUCCUAGUGUAGCGGUGAAAUGCAUAGAUAGUAGGAGGAACACCAGUGGCGAAGGCGGCCUGCUGGGCUUUUACUGACGCUGAGGCUCGAAAGUGUGGGGAGCAAACAGGAUUAGAUACCCUAGUAGUC
RNAcentral lists this ribosomal RNA (440 nucleotides) under uncultured bacterium. RNAcentral's name for it is "partial 16S ribosomal RNA". It matches the Rfam family "Bacterial small subunit ribosomal RNA", at positions 338 to 795 of the family's 1533-position model. The record is from RNAcentral.